Molecule: long non-coding RNA, 1163 nt
Filed under: Homo sapiens (human)
Lineage: Eukaryota; Metazoa; Chordata; Mammalia; Primates; Hominidae
Description: HSALNT0381193
Source: RNAcentral
AUGAAUGAUCAGAGACGACAAAGGCUCCCUCCUUUUCCUUAGUCAUUUGGAUUCCUCUCUCACUGUGUCUCUGUCUCUCUUCCUGUCUCUCAUACACACCCCUCAGGGUAUCCAUCCGGGUAACAUUCUAGAGUAGCACAACUGGUUAGGAUGAGGAAGCUCUCCUUAGUUUAUUCCUCACCCCAUUACCUCUAGCUCCUUUAGCUCUAACUUGGGCUUGGAUAAUGCUCCUCUUCUGAUCACAUCUUUAACUCUUUUCCCAGAAUCUCCAUUCUGUUUCCCAGCCCAGAAGCCAAGGCUUUCCUCCAAACGUGAAAUGCCCUGGACAACUAGAGGGUGAUAUAUUUGUGUCCCCUCUACAACACCAAUUAAUUUCAUUUCAGCCCUCUGUGUUCAGAGAAUUAUUAGCUUCUUUUCCUGUAGAACCAAAUGGACAGAAAAAGAAGAUAGGAUUACAGGAAGGGGGCAUAGCAACAGCAUUUUCUUUUAUUGGCUCCAUACAGUUAAGAUGGUGGUAAAGUGUCUGAGGUUGCCUCGUAGAGAUAGGUGCUUUUCCAGCUUUUCCAGUGUUCGAGGGUAGAGGAGAGGGUGUGUGACUUUUAUGAUCAUGAGCAGAGCAAGGAGAAGGAAAAAAAAUCCUUGCUGGAAGCCUCUGGUGGAGGCAGCUCUAGGAGACCAAGACCAACAUACAUAGGUCCAAAAGAGAAAGAGCACUGGUUUGACCGAGCGGGGGCCCUGCCAGAGCACCAGCAAGAGGCUCUGCCCUCUUCCACUUCCAGCUCAUCGCUGCACGGAGAUGACAAUCCUGAGCCUCUUCUAGUCUUCACCUGGCUAAAGAUCCUGCUGUUGGCCAAAUGAGCCACUGUGGUGAUUUGAGGAUUCUUUCUGAAACUAUUAGAUCACUGUGGUCUACAUGGACGUGGGCCUCCCAGAUCCCCCUUGAGGAAGGAAUGUCACCCCAGCUGCUAUGAGUGCCAGCUCACAGCCCCUUCAUGCACUCCUCAGCAGCAGGGAGCCACCUCACCUGAGGGCAAGAGGUUCACAGGGCAGCCCAUGUCCAGGAUCUUUCCCCAGAAUUUAAUGCUAAAGUAUGUUUCUCUGAAGUUCAGCUGGGUGAGAUUUUCUCUUGAUCACAUCAGCUGGUGCAAGCCUCUAGUGCAAGC